Long non-coding RNA from Vespula vulgaris, 1719 nucleotides. RefSeq lists it as uncharacterized. NCBI's taxonomy places the organism in Eukaryota, Metazoa, Arthropoda, Insecta, Hymenoptera, Vespidae. The record is from RefSeq and is a predicted model, not a curated record. The transcript has 4 exons.
GUGAUAAGCAUAUCACCGCAAGGUGUCGCAUAAGUUAGUUAUUGUCUUGAUUCUUCCACUCUAACAAUAAUCAAAAUAAAAAUUUUUGAACAAAGAUAUACAGGUACUAUAAGCUCUGACUGUAAAAAAAUCGUUGUUAUCAAUUAAUUAGUAAAAUUGUCAUUGUUAUUAAAUAUAAUUGAAAUUAGAACCAUUAAAUGAAGUUUUGAAAUAUAUCAAAAUGAAAAACAAAUCAACACAUCAUAAAUGGAAAUAUAUAUUUCAGCUUGUAGAAAUAUGGAAAAUGAGAAAAUGGAAAUACAUUUUUCAUGAAAUGAUUCAGAAAUGGAAUCUCCUGAAUCUAAUAUACAAUUAAUGUAAUUCUAAAAUACAAAUGAAAAAAAUCAUUACAUUUUUUCAAUUAUUCGAUAAGAAAUAAUAUAUCAUCAAUCAUUCUUAAAAUAUAUCCAGAAACAAUUAUUCGUAAAAUUAUAUAAGAGUUAGUAUAAUUUCUUUUCAAAAAAUUGCAAGUCAACAUUAAUUUACUAGCUUUAAAAGGUUUAUGUCUGAAAAUUUGAUAGACCAUAUCAAUUUACUCGUUUGCAAAACAAAUGUAACUUUGUUUGAACAUCUUAAAAAAUGAAUUCAUAAAUUGAAUAAGAAAUAUUCAAUUAAGAAAAGGAAGAUAAAAAUGGUAAUGAUGACGAUGAAAUCAUGGUGAUAAAAAUAAUACUUUUGCUAACCAAGACAAAGAAGAAAAAAUAGAUAUAAAAUUAAAUAAUGAAAAUAUUAUAUAUAUUUAGAAGAUUUAUUUAGCAAAUUAUAAGAUGAAACAAUAGAUACAUAUUUGUCUGAUCUGCAAAAACAAAUUAUACUUUCAUAAUAUAGAUCAAACUAUGUUCCAAUAAACAUUGAACAUUAAAGAAUUAUAUUUAUACUAAUCUGGUUGAUACUUUUAAAAUUUUAACUUAGAACAUAUUCGCACAAUUACAACUAGAUAUUAUCUUGAUAAAAUUAACAGACAAAAUUAUCAAAAACUUAAUUUUCAUCGCAUAAAUUUUGAAAUAAGUUAUAAGUCAUAUUGUUAACUCAGAUAACGAGGAUUUAUAUAAAGAGAGUAAUAUUUUAUUUCUUACUCGACUAAUGAAAGUAUUAAGAAAAAUUGUAGAUAUAGAAAUAAUUCAGUGACCUAAUUUGAUAUCAGUGAUAAAUACAACAUUUAAAUAGGUCACCAAUGUAAUGACUACUAUAUGAUGACUACUACUACAUGGGAAAAUUAAAUAAAAUACUUUUUAAUGUAAUAUCUCAAUCGAUAUGAUAAAUGUCAACAAGUGAAGAAUUAUCUGUCUUUUGGGUUAAUUGGCAAAGAAGAUAAUUUCUGUGAAAAAAAAAAAAAAAACAAAUAUAUAAUAAAAAAGAAGUAAAAAGAUUAUAAGGAAGUACUCGAAGAAACACUGGCUGUGAAGUCCUUUAAUUAUACGUUUCAUAUGCUUCGAAAACAGCUACAGUUUUAUACACCUGCACCUCUACUGAGACGUUUUUCCAAACUACGAUAAAGAUGAGUGUAUUGGUGUAAUGUCGCUUUAUCUUCAUAUAUUUUACACUUUCUUUCUGUGUUUUCACUACAUCAUUGUUUCUUUUAAAAGAAUAGUGUUUUAUCGCUAAAGGAGAAGAAAAAAAGAGACAAUUAAUUGUAAUUCGAAAAUCAAGCAAUCUUAAUUAAAAAAUUUUUGAAAUCAA